AUGGGGAUGGGUAGGGUGCUAGGGCAUCGGAUGCCGCCGAUGGCCGUUGGUCCUGUCGCCCGACAACCGUCGUCGCAAGCCGCUCCCCCACCGACUAUCUCAAUCCCCGCCGCCGCAGAUGACAAAGCCGAGGACGAGGCCAUUGGCUCAGUCCAUGGAGGUGGGGGCAGCGCGGAUUAACCCCAACGGCGCGGAGGGCGUGUCGGAUGUCUGCAUCGCGUCGGACGUCUCCGAGGCGCCGGACACAGGCGAAGUCUCGGAGGAGUCGGACGCUGAUGAAGUUUCGGAGGAGUCGGACGCCGCUGAAGCUUCGGAGGAAGCGACCAUGUCGUAUUUUCAGGAUAUCGAGCAGUACCUCCGGUAUCUUGAGGGAAAUGGUGAAAUGUUUGGACACGGCACGAUUCGGCGCUGCUGAGUAAUCAAGGAGGCCAAUAAGUAACUAUGGUCAGGUCAUGCUGAGCAUGGGUAUGAGGGGGCGCAUAGUGAACUGGCUGGUGACUGUGUUUUGCGAUUGAACUUCUGGAUGAUACAGAGUCAGUUCAAUGAGUGCAUUAAUUAGGAUUGGACUGCAUUGUCUGAAGAACGGCCCAGCCAAGAGGCCUACCGCAGGAGAAAUUAUGAACAUGCUAUGCAGAUGCUAAUGCUACUGUUAUGAAAAUGCUUUCUGAUAGACAUGAAUAAUCUUGUUGAAAGCCAACAUCACACUAUACCAAACUUUCUUGAAUUAUAUAAUGGAAUACUGAUAUGUGUUUCAUUGGGUC
RNA transcript from Oryza brachyantha (malo sina), 761 nucleotides. RefSeq lists it as uncharacterized. Lineage: Eukaryota; Viridiplantae; Streptophyta; Magnoliopsida; Poales; Poaceae. The transcript has 4 exons. The record is from RefSeq and is a predicted model, not a curated record.